This 463-nucleotide ribosomal RNA is filed under the name uncultured bacterium. RNAcentral describes it as "bacterial SSU rRNA". It matches the Rfam family "Bacterial small subunit ribosomal RNA", at positions 331 to 792 of the family's 1533-position model. The record is from RNAcentral.
CCAGACUCCUACGGGAGGCAGCAGUGAGGAAUAUUGGUCAAUGGUCGGGAGACUGAACCAGCCAAGCCGCGUGAGGGAGGAAGGUACAGAGUAUCGUAAACCUUUUUUGUCAGGGAACAAAGGCGGGGACGUGUCCCCGGAUGAGUGUACCUGAAGAAAAAGCAUCGGCUAACUCCGUGCCAGCAGCCGCGGUAAUACGGAGGAUGCGAGCGUUAUCCGGAUUUAUUGGGUUUAAAGGGUGCGUAGGCGGACAGUCAAGUCAGCGGUAAAAAUGCGGUGCUCAACGCCGUACAGCCGUUGAAACUGGCAGUCUUGAGUGGGCGAGAAGUAUGCGGAAUGCGUGGUGUAGCGGUGAAAUGCAUAGAUAUCACGCAGAACUCCGAUUGCGAAGGCAGCCUACUAAACUGCCACUGACAUUGAUGCUCGAAAGUGUGGGUAUCAAACAGGAUUAGAUACCCGGGUA